RNAcentral lists this long non-coding RNA (1040 nucleotides) under Ananas comosus (pineapple). RNAcentral's name for it is "long non-coding RNA (ACOM_LNC022577)". The record is from RNAcentral. Lineage: Eukaryota; Viridiplantae; Streptophyta; Magnoliopsida; Poales; Bromeliaceae.
CUCCAUUUCCUUUUCUCUAUUUUUUUUUUUUUCUUUCGUCCAUCUAUUCACCACCACCCUCUUUGCCCCUUCGCCGCUUCUCGCUCACCUUCGACGCUUUCGGAAGUCCCUUCCUCAACCACCUCCGCCGCUGCAGCAGCAGCCGCCUCAGCCACUGCGUCGACUCAACACAACCAAGAUCACUUUGAAAGAGAGGGUUGGUGUAUCGGCUGCAGAAGUGAAACAUUGAGUGAAAUUUUCAAUAUAUUCAGUAAUUUUGUCUCAGUAAUUUCAGAGACCUCAUUGUGAAUUAAUUUUUUAAUCGGGUUAGAGUGAAUUUUUGAUUGUUGUGUACCUAUUUUGUAUGUACAGCAGCAAGCGGUAUUAGGGGUGGAGAGUGGACUGCGUAUUCAUAAGUCAACAACUUUUAAUAGUCAUGAUAUUUAUUUUCAUGGUUUGUUUCUACAACCUAACUUUUUUAUCUAUUUUGAAUAUUACUUAAUUAUUUUUUUCAUCUUUAUCUAUAUUUUAUAUUGGUUUUGGCAAUUUAUUCCGCUUUAGGAAUUCAAGUAGUUUUCAGUUCAACUAUAUGAAUAUGCAUAGCAAAUAACUAUUUUAUGAUUAUCUAAUUUCGUAUUCUUGGACUCAUUUCAAAUAUGGAAAGAAAGGAGUAAAUAUGUGAUCGGAUAUAAUUACAGUAGAUAUAAUACAAAGAUUGUAGAUUUAUCUUAUUGAAUAUUUUUAUUUUGUUUCAGGAAUUGACUGCUUCUGCCUGCAACGAUUAAUUAUAUUGACGGGUUCUUUUUUAUUUGAAUUUAAUGCUUUGUUUAUUUUCUCCUAUUUUUCACUAUAUAAUAUAUUUUAAACUAAUGUUAAUCUUUUUUAUUAGGAAUUCAUUGUCUGUAUGUGGUUGAUCUAUAAUUGUUUGCCUCUGAUUUUGUGCAUAUGACGUAAAUUGCAGCCAAAAAAAAAAAUUUGCAGCUCUGAUCUAUGCACUUUGUUAUUUUUUUCAUAGUAGAUAUUUUUUCAUCCAUAUAUAGCAAUAUUUCAGAAUCUCCUAC